AAGUCGUAACAAGGUUUCCGUAGGUGAACCUGCGGAAGGAUCAUUACCGAGUGCGGGCCCUCGCGGCCCAACCUCCCACCCUUGUCUCUAUACACCUGUUGCUUUGGCGGGCCCACCGGGGCCACCUGGUCGCCGGGGGACGCACGUCCCCGGGCCCGCGCCCGCCGAAGCGCUCUGUGAACCCUGAUGAAGAUGGGCUGCCUGAGUACUAUGAAAAUUGUCAAAACUUUCAACAAUGGAUCUCUUGGUUCCG
RNAcentral lists this unclassified non-coding RNA (253 nucleotides) under Talaromyces sp. Its description in RNAcentral is "partial internal transcribed spacer region". The stretch from base 1 to 46 matches the Rfam family "Eukaryotic small subunit ribosomal RNA", at positions 1786 to 1831 of the family's 1831-position model. The record is from RNAcentral. Lineage: Eukaryota; Fungi; Ascomycota; Eurotiomycetes; Eurotiales; Trichocomaceae.